AUAAAUUUGGCACUUGAACAAUUUAAUAUGAAGUUGACAUUACUUUUGAUUUGUUUAAAUGCGCACGAGAGAAGGAAUGGGAUUAGAAUUGAAUAUCAAUUUCAAUGAUAGUUGCUGAUGCGAGUUGUGCUGGAGUGCCUGCACUCCACAAGCCUUCAGUUUUGCCCCGAUUUGUCGUGUCGCGAUCAUUUUCGUGCAAAUCCCAUUGGAUCAUCACUUAUUUACUUGCAAGUACGAGAACCUCUGCGUAUUGGUUUACUAUGCCAUGAGCUAUGGGCCACUUCCCUGCCGUGCCUUCCUCAGCAACUCCCUCGGCCUCUCCAGUUGUUGAUCGAGAAGGGAAAAGUUUAAAGAAGCGGGAAUUGCCUCAUCUAUUUCCAGACCAGUUGGCUCCACCCCAUGCUUUUCCAGCUUACCAAAGAUUUUAGCCAAGUUUGGUCAGCAAUUGUCGAAAGAAGAUAAUAAGCCAAAAGGAUUCUAUGCCUAUGGUGGAACAGCUGCCUCCUUUCGGAAAAAGAAACCCAACAAGAAUCUUACAGGUUGUUGGCCCGUCACCUUUCAAGACGAAUCGAACUUCCCAACCCCUUCCAUCCACAUCUCACCUUCAUCUACGUAUUUGCCCUGCCCUUCUCCGUAAAUUACAAUGCUGCCCCUCUUUCCUCCUGGGGUCGGAUAACUCGCCCAAAGAUAUUGUCAACUGUCCCACAACUUGUGUCAUCAUCUGUGAUGCUCUCUCCCGCCCCACCACAGAUAAUAAAGAAGGAGACAAAGAGAGGAAAGAGAGACCGGAACAGCAGAAAAAAGAAGCGCAAAACAAAAGCAAAGGCCAAACACCUCGUCUCUCUGUCUCUCUCUCUCUCUCUCUCUCUCUCUCACCUCACCUCACCUCUGUUGUAUAGUCGUAAUACUUUGCUUUGCAAACAAGCACUUUGUUCCCUUCUCGAUCCACUCUUCAAAAUAUACCACCCCCUUCAAAGAGGAGGAGCAGGAUCUCUUUUCUCCCGUUCGGUUCUCAGUCUCCCACCCGCUCACAUCACUCCUCACAGUCCCCAAGAAAAGUGCCCCCCCAGCAAGAGAUCAACAAAUCUCCUCGCCCCCCGUCUCUUCUACCCCA
This is a long non-coding RNA of Ananas comosus (pineapple), 1114 nucleotides long. RefSeq lists it as uncharacterized. NCBI's taxonomy places the organism in Eukaryota, Viridiplantae, Streptophyta, Magnoliopsida, Poales, Bromeliaceae. The record is from RefSeq and is a predicted model, not a curated record. The transcript has 5 exons.